Molecule: ribosomal RNA, 504 nt
Filed under: uncultured bacterium
Lineage: Bacteria
Description: bacterial SSU rRNA
Rfam family: Bacterial small subunit ribosomal RNA
Source: RNAcentral
UGGGGAAUCUUGGACAAUGGGGGCAACCCUGAUCCAGCCAUGCCGCGUGAGUGAUGAAGGCCUUAGGGUCGUAAAGCUCUUUCGCCUGUGAAGAUAAUGACGGUAGCAGGUAAAGAAACCCCGGCUAACUCCGUGCCAGCAGCCGCGGUAAUACGGAGGGGGUUAGCGUUGUUCGGAAUUACUGGGCGUAAAGCGCACGUAGGCGGACCAGAAAGUUGGGGGUGAAAUCCCGGGGGCUCAACCCCGGAACUGCCUCCAAAACUAUUGGUCUAGAGUUCGAGAGAGGUGAGUGGAAUUCCAAGUGUAGAGGUGAAAUUCGUAGAUAUUUGGAGGAACACCAGUGGCGAAGGCGGCUCACUGGCUCGAUACUGACGCUGAGGUGCGAAAAGUGUGGGGAGCAAAACAGGAUUAGAUACCCCUGGUAGUCCACACCGUAAAACGAUGAAAUGCCAGUCGUCGGGGUAGCAUGCUAUUCGGUGACACACCUAACGGAUUAAGCAUUCC